This 915-nucleotide ribosomal RNA is filed under the name uncultured marine group I thaumarchaeote. Its description in RNAcentral is "SSU rRNA". It matches the Rfam family "Archaeal small subunit ribosomal RNA", at positions 1 to 923 of the family's 1478-position model. The record is from RNAcentral. Lineage: Archaea; Thermoproteati; Nitrososphaerota.
UUCUGGUUGAUCCUGCCGGACCUGACUGCUAUCGGAUUGAUACUAAGCCAUGCGAGUCAUUGUAGCAAUACAAGGCAGACGGCUCAGUAACGCGUAGUCAACCUAACCUAUGGACGGGAAUAACCUCGGGAAACUGAGAAUAAUGCCCGAUAGAACACUAUACCUGGAAUGGUUUGUGUUCCAAAUGAUUUAUCGCCGUAGGAUGGGACUGCGGCCUAUCAGUUUGUUGGUGAGGUAAUGGCCCACCAAGACUAUUACAGGUACGGGCUCUGAGAGGAGUAGCCCGGAGAUGGGUACUGAGACACGGACCCAGGCCCUAUGGGGCGCAGCAGGCGAGAAAACUUUGCAAUGUGCGAAAGCACGACAAGGUUAAUCCGAGUGGUUUCUGCUAAAGGAACCUUUUGUUAGUCCUAGAAACACUAACGAAUAAGGGGUGGGCAAGUUCUGGUGUCAGCCGCCGCGGUAAAACCAGCACCUCAAGUGGUCAGGAUGAUUAUUGGGCCUAAAGCAUCCGUAGCCGGCUCUGUAAGUUUUCGGUUAAAUCUGUACGCUCAACGUACAGGCUGCCGGGAAUACUGCAGAGCUAGGGAGUGGGAGAGGUAGACGGUACUCGGUAGGAAGGGGUAAAAUCCUUUGAUCUAUUGAUGACCACCUGUGGCGAAGGCGGUCUACCAGAACACGUCCGACGGUGAGGGAUGAAAGCUGGGGGAGCAAACCGGAUUAGAUACCCGGGUAGUCCCAGCUGUAAACUAUGCAAACUCAGUGAUGCAUUGGCUUGUGGCCAAUGCAGUGCUGCAGGGAAGCCGUUAAGUUUGCCGCCUGGGAAGUACGUACGCAAGUAUGAAACUUAAAGGAAUUGGCGGGGGAGCACCACAAGGGGUGAAGCCUGCGGUUCAAUUGGACUCAACGCCGGGA